Molecule: ribosomal RNA, 301 nt
Filed under: uncultured bacterium
Lineage: Bacteria
Description: partial 16S ribosomal RNA
Rfam family: Bacterial small subunit ribosomal RNA
Source: RNAcentral
CAGUCGCCGCGGUAAUACGUAGGUGGCAAGCGUUGUCCGGAAUUAUUGGGCGUAAAGCGCGCGCAGGUGGUUAAAUAAGUCUGAUGUGAAAGCCCACGGCUCAACCGUGGAGGGUCAUUGGAAACUGUUAAACUUGAGUGCAGGAGAGAAAAGUGGAAUUCCUAGUGUAGCGGUGAAAUGCGUAGAGAUUAGGAGGAACACCAGUGGCGAAGGCGGCUUUUUGGCCUGUAACUGACACUGAGGCGCGAAAGCGUGGGGAGCAAACAGGAUUAGAUACCCGAGUAGUCCCUGUCUCUUAUAC